AGUUAAAAAAAGACCGAACACGAUUCCUGUGCCCGGUCUAGGGAAAUGGCUCUUGGGAGAGAGCCGUGCGCUAAAAGUUGGCAUUUGUUGCAAGUUGCAUCACAACCUGCUCUUUAAGCGUAGACGACCCCUCUCUGUUUUCCAGUUU
RNAcentral lists this small RNA (148 nucleotides) under Erwinia sp. AG740. Lineage: Bacteria; Pseudomonadati; Pseudomonadota; Gammaproteobacteria; Enterobacterales; Erwiniaceae. The record is from RNAcentral.